CCUACGGGUGGCAGCAGUGAGGAAUAUUGGUCAAUGGGCGAGAGCCUGAACCAGCCAAGUCGCGUGAAGGAUGACGGCCCUACGGGUUGUAAACUUCUUUUGUCAGGGAGCAAUUGAGUCCACGUGUGGGCUUAGCGAGAGUACCUGAAGAAAAAGCAUGGGCUAACUCGGUGCCAGCAGCCGCGGAAAUACGGAGGUUGCGAGCGUUCUCCGAUUUGAUUGGGUUAAAAGGGUGCGUAGGCGGAAUAUCAAGUCAGCGGGAAAUAGUCGGGGCUAAACCCCGUCGUGCCGUUGAUACGGGUGUGCUAGAGUGUGCGAGAGGGAGGCGGAAUGCGUGGUGUAGCGGUGAAAUGCAUAGAGAUCACGCAGAACUCCGAUUGCGAAGGCAGCAUACCGGCGCCCGACUGACGCUGAAGCACGAAAGCGUGGGGAGCGAACAGGAUUAGAUACCCUGGUAGUC
This 460-nucleotide ribosomal RNA is filed under the name uncultured bacterium. RNAcentral's name for it is "partial 16S ribosomal RNA". It matches the Rfam family "Bacterial small subunit ribosomal RNA", at positions 338 to 795 of the family's 1533-position model. The record is from RNAcentral.